Molecule: long non-coding RNA, 253 nt
Filed under: Panax ginseng (ginseng)
Lineage: Eukaryota; Viridiplantae; Streptophyta; Magnoliopsida; Apiales; Araliaceae
Description: long non-coding RNA (PGIN_LNC014563)
Source: RNAcentral
UCAACACUCGAGAGGGUGGGAGAAGAAAUUAGAAAGGAGAGAGAUGAGAAUUCAGCCAAAAUGUCACAAGGUCAGCUAAAAAAAUAAUCUAUUGUUGGAUAAUUAUGUUAGUAAAAAUUUCUCCAACGAAUCGGAAAAGACAAAUCGACUAUAGCGAUAGUUCAUCCGUCGCUAAAUCACAUAAAAAUCGAUUUUCUAAUCUAUGGUGACGGUUAUAGCUGUGGCGUCGACUUUCUAUGCUAUAGCGACGGAU